This 468-nucleotide ribosomal RNA is filed under the name uncultured bacterium. Its description in RNAcentral is "partial 16S ribosomal RNA". It matches the Rfam family "Bacterial small subunit ribosomal RNA", at positions 28 to 507 of the family's 1533-position model. The record is from RNAcentral.
GACGAACGCUGGCGGCGUGCUUAACACAUGCAAGUCGAACGGAAAAGCCCUGUUCUUGUGGGGUGUGCGAGUGGCGAACGGGUGAGUGAGACGCGAGUAACCUGCCCUUGACUUUGGGAUAACUUCAGGAAACUGGGGUUAAUACAGGAUAGGAGCUCUUGCUGCAUGGUGUGGGUGGGAAAGUUACGGUGGUUGGGCAUGGACUGGCGGUUUAGCAGUGUGUUGGUGGGGUGGUGGCUUACCAAGGCUUCGACGGGUGGCCGGCCUGAGAGGGUGACCGGCCACAUUGGGACUGAGAUAGGAGCCAGACUCCUACGGGAGGCAGCAGUGGGAAAUAGUGCGCAAUGGGCGGAAGCCUUAUGCAGCGACGCCGCGUGGGGGAUGACGGCCUUCGGGUUGUAACCCGCUUUCGCCUGUGACGAAGCGUGAGUGACGGUAAUGGGUAAAGAAGCGCCGGCUAACUACGUG